GGCAUGCGCCCGAGCUACCCGCGUCCCCCAAAAUCCACCCCGGAUCCUCUCCCUUCCCCGGUAUGCCAAAACCCGUCCCGGCUGCUCCCCGCCACAUCGCGGUGCCUCAAUACUCAAGACGCAGCAACCCCAAUCUAGCGCAACUUCUUCACCGCCGACUGCGUUGUGUCGCCGUGGUGGGACCGGGUCCAGCUUGCCCGACACUGGAUAGCAAUGUUGUUGAGAGGUGCCUGGCAGCAGUAAAUGCUCUUGCUUCAUACCAUUUCAGAGAAAGAUUAGGAGGGAGAGGAGGACAGAACUCGUAGCUCAUGGAAUCUGCAGGACCAAAUGGCAAACUGCAGGAAAGCAUACCAACUCAAUUCUUCAUACUUCUAUUGUAAAUACUUCUUUUUGAAGAUCUCGGGUGAGCUGUGUACUGAUAAUUUGUUUUUUAUUUUGAUUGUUUUCAAUAUUAAGCGAAGUACUUAUCAAUUUGUUAUUAUCUUGUUUAAUCACACCGCAAAUUGUGUCUGAAGGGAACCAGACCAUCAAAGCAUCCAUUGGUAUUUGGACUUGUUCACAUUUAACUUCAGUCUGCUAGAUUUUUUAUAUACCGUGUGUUCUCUGCAACAAUUACUCUAUACAUAUGUACCAUAACGUGAGGUUGAAAAGAUUUAUGUUCACAACUCUAUAGAUUUGUAAAGAGUUUCAUGAGAAAUGUGGUUACCUUUCUGCCCAGCUCCUCUUAGUGGCCUUCUUUCUAUUUCCCACAUCUUUGCACUGCUGCUGACUGAAUUUCAUCCACAGAUAUUUCACCAAUUCACUGCUUCCUCACUAUGAAUCACCUGCUGCUGCUGCUGCAAUCAACAUUCAGUCGACACAAACCAGACAAUUCACCUGGACACAAAACUGCAGCAGCAGCUGUGAACCAUUCAUUUAAAUUUAGACAAAGCAGCAACAAUUUCAGUCAAUCAUUCUAACUCAAACCAAGCAGCGGCAGUGUCGACCAUUCUUACAAAUUCAGAGCAAGCAGCCUCACUGCCGACCAUUGUUUCCACUUUAGACCAAGAAGCAGCAGUGUCAACCAUUCUUUCAAAUUCAGAGCAAUCAACCUCAGUGUCGACCAUUAUUUCCAAUUUAGACUAACAUGCAACAGUGUCAACCAUUUAGUCAACCAUUCUUUCCCCAAGCUGAAUGACUAGAGGGGCAAUUAGCAGGAGCAGAAGGAGCAUGUGUCGCUAAUCAUGUUGUUAGCCUUUUUUAUUCUUUGCUCCAGAAAUUUGUUAUCACAUUUCUUUUGCCUUGAAACUUGAAUAAACUUUCUUGUAGCAAUUGCUAAUACUAGAGGCUAAGCCUAUAUUUGGGUGCUUUUUCCUCCUAUGAUUGGCAUACAGACAUGCAGAUGGAUAUUGAUAAUAUGUAUUAUGAGGUACUAUCUUUUAUCAUGUCU
RNA transcript from Zea mays, 1429 nucleotides. RefSeq lists it as uncharacterized. The transcript is spliced from 3 exons. The record is from RefSeq and is marked validated. Lineage: Eukaryota; Viridiplantae; Streptophyta; Magnoliopsida; Poales; Poaceae.